This 447-nucleotide ribosomal RNA is filed under the name Peribacillus simplex. RNAcentral's name for it is "bacterial SSU rRNA". It matches the Rfam family "Bacterial small subunit ribosomal RNA", at positions 77 to 511 of the family's 1533-position model. Lineage: Bacteria; Bacillati; Bacillota; Bacilli; Caryophanales; Bacillaceae. The record is from RNAcentral.
CGGACUUGCUCCUGANUUACGGCGGANGGGUGAGUACACGUGGGCAACCUGCCUAUAAGACUGGGAUAACUUCGGGAAACCGGAGCUAAUACCGGAUACGUUCUUUUCUCGCAUGAGAGAAGAUGGAAAGACGGUUUACGCUGUCACUUAUAGAUGGGCCCGCGGCGCAUUAGCUAGUUGGUGAGGUAAUGGCUCACCAAGGCGACGAUGCGUAGCCGACCUGAGAGGGUGAUCGGCCACACUGGGACUGAGACACGGCCCAGACUCCUACGGGAGGCAGCAGUAGGGAAUCUUCCGCAAUGGACGAAAGUCUGACGGAGCAACGCCGCGUGAACGAAGAAGGCCUUCGGGUCGUAAAGUUCUGUUGUUAGGGAAGAACAAGUACCAGAGUAACUGCUGGUACCUUGACGGUACCUAACCAGAAAGCCACGGCUAACUACGUGCCAG